RNAcentral lists this ribosomal RNA (881 nucleotides) under Polygordius triestinus. Its description in RNAcentral is "partial 16S ribosomal RNA". It matches the Rfam family "Bacterial large subunit ribosomal RNA", at positions 803 to 2560 of the family's 2925-position model. Lineage: Eukaryota; Metazoa; Annelida; Polychaeta; Polygordiidae. The record is from RNAcentral.
GAAGAGUGUGCGUCAGAGGCUACAUACCAACCGCGCCACCUGAUAGCUGGUUUUCUGAGAACAGUGCUUCAGCACAGACAAUAGAACCUCUUCGUCCACCCAAAAAGGGAUAAGCCUUAUUGGGCCGCUUUAUUUUUACUAACAGUAUUUAUUAUUUGUAGGAUUACAACCAUUCAACAAACGCUAGAGCGUUACAGCCAUAGACUUUUAGCAGAACAACAAUUUAUACACUUUAAUAGGCCACAUAUCAGAAUAUAUUAUUAAACUUUCCCCAGGAUAAAAAAAAUGCCAGGAUUAGUAUUUUUCUUGCUUGUGAAGGACCCCUUAAAACAGCUCUUUUACCAGAAGAAACUUAAAACAGUAAAAAAGGAACUCGGCAAACCGAACUUCGACUGUUUACCAAAAACAUUGCCUCUAGCACAAAACAUUGGAGGUACAUCCUGCCCAGUGACAUACGUGUUAAACGGCCGCGGUACCCUGACCGUGCAAAGGUAGCAUAAUCACUUGCCUCUUAAUUGGGGGCUGGUAUGAAUGGACAAACGAGGGUUCAGCUGUCUCUUCUAUUUACCUAAAAAUUAACCCUCAGGUGAAAAUGCCUGAAUUUUCAUGAAAGACAAGAAGACCCCAUUGAGCUUUACUUUUACCGCCUAGAUUACCCCCUUUCUGGGAAAGCUAAUAGUUGGGAAAGGUUUUGUUGGGGCGACAAAGGAAUAAACACUUCUUCCUAAGUAAUUCGGGCUCCGAGCCGCAUAAAUGACCCUGGACUGAUCAACGGAACCAGCUACCAUGGGGAUAACAGGCUAAUCCCCCUCGAGAGCCCUGAUUGACAGGGGGGUUUGGCACCUCGAUGUUGGCUUGGGGCCAACCUGUGAGCAGAAACA